UUAUAAAAGUAUUGGAGUUUUCUUUUCUAUUAUUCUAGCUAGAAGUUCUUGAAGUAUUGUACCUGAGUUCAUUGGAAGGUGAGUUUAUUAGUUAACAGUUGGUUAAAUGCUGUUAGCUUCUCUUACUACUUCUCAUCCUUGGCUAACUGUCAUCCUAAUCUUUUCGGAUUAGAAACGUGUUUUGGAAUUAACUAGCUGUAUAUAUUGCAUUUCUUACUUGCUAUAUUUCUUUUAUUAAGACUGCUUCUAAUUCCUUUUCUCCUUUCUUUUGCAUGAACGCACAUGGGAGAAUAUUGGAGUUAUGGCAACUCCAAGUUCAGCCCGGCAUUAGGAGUAAACAGUAGCUGCGGUUUUGUUCGAGCUAGCAGUCCCAUCUCAUUCGUGUCUCGAGUCCAUAUCCCUUCUCCUUCCUUCAAAAUUAUCGUGUCCUUAUAUUAUCAUAUGCACAUGUUUGUUUACAACUCUUGACUAACGCUUUUGUGGUUUGUAUUUACGAGCUUGUGUUUGUAGCC
Lycium ferocissimum is the source of this 512-nucleotide long non-coding RNA. RefSeq lists it as uncharacterized. Lineage: Eukaryota; Viridiplantae; Streptophyta; Magnoliopsida; Solanales; Solanaceae. The transcript is spliced from 2 exons. The record is from RefSeq and is a predicted model, not a curated record.